GCUAGCUCAAUCGGUAGAGCGUGAGACUCUUAAUCUCAAGGUUGCGGGUUCGACCCCCGCGU
Molecule: transfer RNA, 62 nt
Filed under: Coemansia sp. RSA 1939
Lineage: Eukaryota; Fungi; Kickxellomycota; Kickxellomycetes; Kickxellales; Kickxellaceae
Description: tRNA-Lys
Rfam family: tRNA
About the family: Transfer RNA (tRNA) molecules are approximately 80 nucleotides in length. Their secondary structure includes four short double-helical elements and three loops (D, anti-codon, and T loops).
Source: RNAcentral